UACGGGGGGGGCAAGCGUUGUUCGGAAUUACUGGGCGUAAAGGGCUCGUAGGCGGCCAACUAAGUCAGACGUGAAAUCCCUCGGCUUAACCGGGGAACUGCGUCUGAUACUGGAUGGCUUGAGGUUGGGAGAGGGAUGCGGAAUUCCAGGUGUAGCGGUGAAAUGCGUAGAUAUCUGGAGGAACACCGGCGGCGAAGGCGGCAUCCUGGACCAAUUCUGACGCUGAGGAGCGAAAGCCAGGGGAGCAAACGGG
This 253-nucleotide ribosomal RNA is filed under the name uncultured bacterium. Its description in RNAcentral is "partial 16S ribosomal RNA". It matches the Rfam family "Bacterial small subunit ribosomal RNA", at positions 524 to 776 of the family's 1533-position model. The record is from RNAcentral.